Molecule: ribosomal RNA, 118 nt
Filed under: Stegodyphus mimosarum
Lineage: Eukaryota; Metazoa; Arthropoda; Arachnida; Araneae; Eresidae
Description: eukaryotic small subunit ribosomal RNA
Rfam family: Eukaryotic small subunit ribosomal RNA
Source: RNAcentral
AUAACAAUACGUGACUCUUUUGAGACCCGAAAUUGGGAUGAGUAAACUCUAAAUCCUUUAACGAGGAUCAAUUAGAGGGCGAAUCUUCUUCCAGCAGCCGCGAUAAUUCCAGUUCCAA